AGACAGGGUUUCUCUGUGUAGCUUUGCGCCUUUCCUGGAACUCGCUUUGGAGACCAGGCUGGCCUCGAACUCACAGAGAUCCGCCUGGCUCUGCCUCCCGAGUGCUGGGAUUAAAGGCGUGCGCCACCACCGCCCGGCCAAUCUUUGAUUUAAAAACUUCUCUACAUUAGGGGUCAUCCACUUCCUGUAAAGUUCAGAUAGCCAGUACACAUAGGCUAUGCAGCUUCUCUCCCAGCUCAGUUGUGCAGCUUACAGUCUAACGUGAAAGAGCUGCAGACAGUGUGGAACAAGUGAACACACUCCAGUAGAAGCACACCUCUCAGUAGGUGAUGGGUCGGGUCACCACAGAUGGAGCCAUAUUAACCCUAUCCUGGAGAAAAGAAAUAGAGAUCCCUUUCAUUUUUAAAGACAGACAGACAGACAGUCUAACAUUAGCAAGGAUACGUUAGAAGAACGUUUUAUCUGACAUUGCUCUUUCCGAGCUGGGUGGUGUGAUUGGGAACAUGAAGUUGUACAUUAUCAGAGAAGGCACCCGUGUGAGUGGCCAAUGUGAAAUGUAAAAAGUAUUCUAGAAUUAGCUGGACAAAAAAAAUGAAGAGCAAAAGUUUUAGUAAAGUAAGAGACCCUGCUACAGAAGUUAGCGCUGGAAGGUUCAUAAAGAGAAUCUGUGAUAGUUUUAUUAGUCUAGUAAGUUAAAUAGUGACAGAUUAUAAAUUUCUCAUAAGACACAAGACAGGAAAUCCGAAUAACCUUUUGUCUAUUAAAGGACUAAACUUGCAGGUGCUCUGCUGGACGUCUGUGAACUUGUUUUGUUCACUCCUGGGAACUGAUUGGCCUUGUACCCCCGCUAGUGCUCACUCCUCACAUCUCUAGUCCUCAGCUCUUGAGACAGGCUCCUGCUGUGUAGCUCAGGGAGGCCUUGAAGUCUCAGUCAUCCUACCUCAGUGCUCUGUGUGCUGGGGUUAGUCAGGUGCCAUGGCACCCAGCUUACUGAUGUUUUAGAAAGGAGUAAUGUUCCUGUACAAAUUCUUUCAGAAAAUAGAAGAGAGAACACUUUCUAGCUUGUUGUUACUGCAAUAAAUGAAAACUAAAGACCGGUUCCCUUCAUUAGCAACAUUCCUUGCUAGAUAAAGAGAUCAAAUCCAGCAACCUAUUGGAAGAAAGCAAUACGAGCAAUUAGACCCUAUCCCAGUAAUUUAAGAAAUAAGCCGGUGUAAUUCAUAUUAACUGGUUAAAGGAGAAACCUCUCAUAAAUAAGGAUAUCGACAAAUCUAGUAUCUGCUCCUGGUGUAAACGGUGCAUUACUAUUAGAUGGAAAUGGGACCUAAUGGAUUUGUAGCAGACACAGACUUUAACAUCAUCCUUCAUGUGGCUCCUGGGAUUGGACUCUGGAAGAGCAGCCAGUAAUUCCAGCUCCUGAUCCAAUUGAUUGGGUAGUCACUAUUGAGAGAGUUAUGCAUUCUGGAUAGGAGAUCUUUAUCAGUAAUCAGGAUUGUAUUUGCAUAUAUUUUUCCAGGUUGUAGCUUGAUCUCAAUCUCUCAAUCUCUCUCUCUCUCUCUCUCUCUCUCUCUCUCUCUCUCUCUCUCUCUCUCUUUCUCAUGUUACAAAGUGUUACGGUGUGUGUUACAAAGAUAAGAAAUUCAGUGGACAUGGUAGUGCAUGCCUUUAAUCCUGGUGCUAUGGAGUCAGAGGCAGGUGGAUCUCUAUGACUUCCAGGACAUACAGGGCUACAUAGUGAGACUCUGUCUCAAGGGAAAAAUUUUUUUUUAAAUUUUGUCUGUCAUGUUUUGUUUUUGUAAAGUUAGGGACUCAUGCAGCCAAGCUCACUCAGAUGGCCUUAAACCCCUAAGCCUUCUGCCUCUGCCUCCCAGGUGCUGGUAUUGUAUGCACACAUUACCACAUUGACUUAAGAAUUUUAAUUUUGAAGAAGUGCAAUUUGUCAUUUUUUCUUUGAUUCUUGCUUUUUGUGUUACACAUAGAGUCUUAUCUGAGAACAAUUUUUCAGUGUUUUCUCCUACACAUUUUGAAACUUUAAGCAUCAUUUUCAUGUUUGUGACACAUUUGAAUCAUUUUGUUAUAUGUGCAAGCGGAGGGUGGUUUUUUGUUGUUGUUGUUGGUUUUUUGAGACAGGGUUUCACUGCUGUAGCUUUAGAGCCUUUCCUGGAUCUCGCUCUGUAGCCCAGGCUGGCCUCGAACUCACAGAGAUCCUCCUGGCUCUGCCUCCCGAGUGCUGGGAUUAAAGGCGUGCGCCACCGCCGCCCGGCCGGAGGGUGUUUUUUGACUGCGGAUGUAAAACUGAGUCAGCAUCGUUUAAAACCGCCCUUUCUCCACCACAUUACCUUCACAGUCACACCAAGACCGUCUCGGUGGCUCAGCAGGUAAAGGUGCUUGCUGAGAGCCUGACGGCCCGAGGUCAGUCUUCCGGACCCUCACGGUAGUAGGAGAGAACCAGUUUUCAACAGUUGUCUUCUGACCGCCACAUGCACCCUGACACACAUGUGCCUCAGUGUCACAUUGACAGUCACACAAAGAUUUUACUGUUGCUGUGUAAGCAUGAUGCAUGUGUUUAAGAAGUGCUUUGUACUUAUUUUAAAACACGAGUGGGGCUGGAGAGAUGGCUCAGUGGUUAGGGUCACUGGCUGUUCUAUGGGACCCAGAGUCAGUUCCCAGCAUCCACAUGGUAGCACACAACUGGCUGUAACUCCAGAUCCCGGGGAUCCGAUCCCCUCUUCUGGUUUCUGUGGGCAUUAGGCCCACAAACAGUACACAGACUCACAUGCAGGCAAAACACUCAUGCACAUAAAAUAAAAACAAAGAAAUCUUUAAAAAUCUAGAGGAAGUCCAUAGACUAAGAAAAACAGAGGAGGUGGCUUGAAAAGGACAGUGUCUGUGGUGUCCAGAGUGAGGUCCGUUUUGGUUCACAUGUGAACAGUGUUCACUUUUAGUAAUUCUGGAAAACUAUGUUGAGUGUUAGAUCAUGGCCUGCCCUCAAGAGUGGAGUCGGCAGCCUAGGUUUAACUUGGUAGGCGGAGGUGAGUGACAUGACUCGUUGCCUUAAACCAGGAGGAACACGGUAGGCUGAUUGGGGGAUGAGAUAAGCAUGCCCGGUCUCAGCACGUGGAGGGUACUGGUGAGUAAAUGCUGAGGAGGUAUGGGUGGCAUAAGGAGGAUUUCAUAUGGGGGAACGCUUGCUCAGUCUGCCUGGCCCGGUUCAAUUCCUGUGAUGUCUGUCUGUCCUUGAACUUCUGGUCCUCCUGCCUCCGCUUCCCUAGUGCUGGGACUGUAGAUGUGGGUCGCCAUGCCUGGGUUAUGGUGCUGGGUAUUGAACACACAUAUCCCAUGCUAAGUUAACUCUACUGACUGAGCCACAUCCCAGCCCAACUCCAGUGUUUUUGAAAAUGGAAAUUCACUGGCUGAUAUGACUAAAGAAGUAUGCGAGCAUGUGUCUUGUGUAGCGAAAGAAAAGGUGUCGGGCUGGAGAGAUGGCUCAGCGGCUAAGAGCACUGGCUGAUCUUCCAGAGGUCUUGAGUUCAAUUCCCAGCAACCAUAUGGUGGCUCACAACCAUCUGUAAUGAGGUCUGGUGUCCUCUACUGGCCUGCAGGGAUACAUGCAGGCAGAAUGCUGUAUACAUAAAAAAUAAAA
Long non-coding RNA from Peromyscus californicus insignis, 3643 nucleotides. RefSeq lists it as uncharacterized. The transcript has 2 exons. The record is from RefSeq and is a predicted model, not a curated record. Lineage: Eukaryota; Metazoa; Chordata; Mammalia; Rodentia; Cricetidae.